GAUGAACGCUGGCGGCGUGCCUAAUACAUGCAAGUCGAGCGAACGGACGAGAAGCUUGCUUCUCUGAUGUUAGCGGCGGACGGGUGAGUAACACGUGGAUAACCUACCUAUAAGACUGGGAUAACUUCGGGAAACCGGAGCUAAUACCGGAUAAUAUUUUGAACCGCAUGGUUCAAAAGUGAAAGACGGUCUUGCUGUCUCUUAUAGAUGGAUCCGCGCUGCAUUAGCUAGUUGGUAAGGUAACGGCUUACCAAGGCAACGAGGCGUAGCCGACCUGAGAGGGUGAUCGGCCACACGGGAACUGAGACACGGUCCAGACUCCUACGAGAGGCAGCAGUAGGGAAUCUUCCGCAGUGGGCGAAAGCCUGACGGAGCAACGCCGCGUGAGUGAUGAAGGUCUUCGGAUCGUAAAACUCUGUUAUUAGGGAAGAACAUAUGUGUAAGUAACUGUGCACAUCUUGACGGUACCUAAUCAGAAAGCCACGGCUAACUACGUG
This 497-nucleotide ribosomal RNA is filed under the name uncultured bacterium. Its description in RNAcentral is "partial 16S ribosomal RNA". It matches the Rfam family "Bacterial small subunit ribosomal RNA", at positions 28 to 507 of the family's 1533-position model. The record is from RNAcentral.